AUCAGUGUAGCGUAGUGGUUUGAAUGUUGAACUACAACUCUGAAGACCAGGGUUCAAUUCCCAGCUUGGCUG
Molecule: non-coding RNA, 72 nt
Organism: Phrynosoma platyrhinos (Desert horned lizard)
Lineage: Eukaryota; Metazoa; Chordata; Lepidosauria; Squamata; Phrynosomatidae
Source: the annotation of a GenBank genome assembly